This 359-nucleotide transfer-messenger RNA is filed under the name Alteromonas macleodii. RNAcentral's name for it is "Standard tmRNA". It matches the Rfam family "transfer-messenger RNA". Rfam says of the family: Bacterial tmRNA, also known as 10Sa RNA or SsrA, is named for its dual tRNA and mRNA-like properties. Its role is to liberate the mRNA from a stalled ribosome. To accomplish this part of the tmRNA is used as a reading frame that ends in a translation stop signal. RNAcentral also lists the same sequence under 1 other name. Lineage: Bacteria; Pseudomonadati; Pseudomonadota; Gammaproteobacteria; Alteromonadales; Alteromonadaceae. The record is from RNAcentral.
GGGGCUGAUUAGGAUUCGACAGGAUCUAGGAAGCCGGAGGUGCAUGCAGAGGAGCGGUUUGCCUCUUAAAAAGCCGCAUUUAAAUAGUCGCAAACGACGAAACAUACGCACUAGCCGCUUAAUAACCGGCAUAGGCCCUUCCACCCUAGUCUUUUCCUGCUAGCGGGGAUUCGGAAGGUCAUCCAAGUAGGAUAGCGAGGGAACUUUGUCUAAGGGUGAACCGCGAAACAGUAUUAGGCCAGCUGCAAGGAAAUCCUGUUUGUCGGAGUUCCAAGCAGUUAAAUAAAUGACAAACUAAGCAUGUAGUACCAAAGGUAGACAUUUUCUGGACGCGGGUUCAAAUCCCGCCAGCUCCACCA